RNAcentral lists this ribosomal RNA (882 nucleotides) under uncultured bacterium. RNAcentral's name for it is "bacterial SSU rRNA". It matches the Rfam family "Bacterial small subunit ribosomal RNA", at positions 567 to 1448 of the family's 1533-position model. The record is from RNAcentral.
GUGUGUAGGCGGUUCUCUAAGUUUGGUGUGAAAUCUCCCGGCUCAACCGGGAGGGUGCGCCGAAAACUGGAGGGCUAGAGUGCGGGAAGGGAGGGUAGAAUUCCUGGUGUAGCGGUGAAAUGCGUAGAUAUCAGGAGGAAUACCGGUGGUGCAGACGGCUCUCUGGACCGCGACUGACGCUGAGACACGAAAGCGUGGGUAGCAAACAGGAUUAGAUACCCUGGUAGUCCACGCCCUAAACGAUGCAUAUUUGGUGUAGGUCAUUCAGUUGAUCUGUGCCGGAGCUAACGCGUUAAAUAUGCCGCCUGGGGAGUACAGUCGCAAGGCUGAAACUCAAAGGAAUUGACGGGGGCCCGCACAAGCGGUGGAGCAUGUGGUUCAAUUCGACGCAACGCGAAGAACCUUACCUGGGCUCGAACGGCUGGUUAACGGCAGUGGAAACAUUGCUACUCCGCAAGGAGGUCCAGUCGAGGUGCUGCAUGGCUGUCGUCAGCUCGUGUCGUGAGAUGUUGGGUUAAGUCCCGCAACGAGCGCAACCCUUGUCCUGUGUUGCCAUUCCGCAAGGAGGGACUCGCAGGAGACCGCCAGCGAUAAGCUGGAGGAAGGUGGGGAUGACGUCAAGUCCUCAUGGCCUUUAUGUCCAGGGCUACACACGUGCUACAAUGGCCGGUACAAAGCGCCGCUAAGUCGCGAGACGGAGCCAAUCGCAAAAAACCGGUCUCAGUUCGGAUUGCAGGCUGCAACUCGCCUGCAUGAAGCUGGAAUCGCUAGUAAUGGCGUAUCAGAACGAUGCCGUGAAUACGUUCCCGGGCCUUGUACACACCGCCCGUCACAUCACGAAAGUGGGUUGUACUAGAAGUCUGCAGGCUGACCCGCAAGGGA